GACGAACGCUGGCGGCGUGCCUAAUACAUGCAAGUCGAACGCUGAAGGAGGAGCUUGCUUCUCUGGAUGAGUUGCGAACGGGUGAGUAACGCGUAGGUAACCUGCCUGGUAGCGGGGGAUAACUAUUGGAAACGAUAGCUAAUACCGCAUAAGAGUAGAUGUUGCAUGACAUUUGCUUAAAAGGUGCAAUUGCAUCACUACCAGAUGGACCUGCGUUGUAUUAGCUAGUUGGUGGGGUAACGGCUCACCAAGGCGACGAUACAUAGCCGACCUGAGAGGGUGAUCGGCCACACUGGGACUGAGACACGGCCCAGACUCCUACGGGAGGCAGCAGUAGGGAAUCUUCGGCAAUGGACGGAAGUCUGACCGAGCAACGCCGCGUGAGUGAAGAAGGUUUUCGGAUCGUAAAGCUCUGUUGUAAGAGAAGAACGAGCGUGAGAGUGGAAAGUUCACACUGUGACGGUAGCUUACCAGAAAGGGACGGCUAACUACGUG
Molecule: ribosomal RNA, 495 nt
Filed under: uncultured bacterium
Lineage: Bacteria
Description: partial 16S ribosomal RNA
Rfam family: Bacterial small subunit ribosomal RNA
Source: RNAcentral